RNAcentral lists this ribosomal RNA (1022 nucleotides) under Chlamydomonas reinhardtii. Its description in RNAcentral is "bacterial LSU rRNA". It matches the Rfam family "Bacterial large subunit ribosomal RNA", at positions 1597 to 2616 of the family's 2925-position model. Lineage: Eukaryota; Viridiplantae; Chlorophyta; Chlorophyceae; Chlamydomonadales; Chlamydomonadaceae. The record is from RNAcentral.
AUGUCAUACUUCCAAGAAAAGCUCAUACAUCUUUAUAAUUUAAUGACCUGUACCUGAAACCGACACAGGUAGGUUGGUAGAGAAUACCAAGGGGCGCGAGAGAACUCUCUCUAAGGAACUCGGCAAACUGGCCCCGUAACUUCGGAAGAAGGGGCACCCAUCCGUAACAAGGUGGGUCGCAGUGACCAGGCCCAGGCGACUGUUUACCAAAAACACAGGUCUCCGCAAAGUCGUAAGACAAUAUAUGGGGGCUGACGCCUGCCCAGUGCCGGAAGGUUAAGGAAGUUGGUUAUUUCGUAAGAAAAAAGCUGACGACCGAAGCCCCGGUGAACGGCGGUCGUAACUAUAACGAUCCUAAGGUAGCGAAAUUCAUUGUCGAGUAAGUUUCGACCUGCACGAAAGGCGUAACGAUCUGGGCGCUGUCUCGGAGAGAGGCUCGGUGAAAUAGACUUGUCCCGUGAAGAUGCGGACUACCUACACCUGGACAGAAAGACCCUAUGAAGCUUGACUGUAUCUUGGAAUUGGGUUUGGGCUUUUCUUGCGCAGCCUAGGUGGGAGGCUAUGAAGAUUACCUUCCGGGGUAAUUAGAGCCGUCAUUGAGAGACCACUCUGGAAGAGCUAGAAUCCUAAUGGGGAUCCUUGAAUCAGGACCCUUGACAGUUUCAGGUGGGCAGUUUAUUUGGGGCGAAUGCCUCCUAAAAGGUAACGGAGGCGUGCAAAGGUUCCCUCAGUCUGGACGGAAAUCAGACAUUGAGUGUAAAGGCAAAAGGGAGCUUGACUGCAAGACCUACAAGUCGAGCAGGGGCGAAAGCCGGCCUUAGUGAUCCGACGGUGCCGCGUGGAAGGGCCGUCGCUCAACGGAUAAAAGUUACUCUAGGGAUAACAGGCUGAUCUUCCCCAAGAGUUCACAUCGACGGGAAGGUUUGGCACCUCGAUGUCGGCUCAUCACAUCCUCGGUCUGUAGUAGGUCCGAAGGGUUGGGCUGUUCGCCCAUUAAAGUGGUACGUGAGCUGGGUUCAAAA